AGCUCCAGUAGCGUAUAUUAAAGUUGUUGCAGUUAAAAAGCUCGUAGUUGGAUUUCUGGCAAGAGAUAUCUGGCCCGCCACGGUUACGUGCGUGAGUGCCGGCAUGUUUCUGCCAUCCUUCUGGAAAACGUUCCUACCCUUCAGUGGGCCGGGUUCGCAAUCUGGAUCUUUUACUUUGAAAAAAUUAGAGUGUUUAAAGCAGGCUUUUUGCUAUGAAUAUAUUAGCAUGGAAUAAUAAUUUAGGACUUUGUUUCUAUUUUGUUGGUUUCUAGGAAUGAAGUAAUGAUUGAUAGGGAUAGUUGGGGGUGCUAGUAUUCAGCGGCCAGAGGUGAAAUUCUUGGAUUCGCUGAAGACUAACUUAUGCGAAAGCAUUCACCAAGGAUGUCUUCUUUAAUCAAGA
This 400-nucleotide ribosomal RNA is filed under the name phytoplankton environmental sample. RNAcentral's name for it is "partial small subunit ribosomal RNA". It matches the Rfam family "Eukaryotic small subunit ribosomal RNA", at positions 587 to 982 of the family's 1831-position model. The record is from RNAcentral.